UACGGAGGGAGCUAGCGUUGUUCGGAAUUACUGGGCGUAAAGCGCGCGUAGGCGGCUUUGUAAGUUAGAGGUGAAAGCCCGGGGCUCAACUCCGGAAUUGCCUUUAAAACUGCAUCGCUUGAAUCCGGGAGAGGUGAGUGGAAUUCCGAGUGUAGAGGUGAAAUUCGUAGAUAUUCGGAAGAACACCAGUGGCGAAGGCGGCUCACUGGACCGGUAUUGACGCUGAGGUGCGAAAGCGUGGGGAGCAAACAGG
RNAcentral lists this ribosomal RNA (253 nucleotides) under uncultured bacterium. RNAcentral describes it as "partial 16S ribosomal RNA". It matches the Rfam family "Bacterial small subunit ribosomal RNA", at positions 524 to 776 of the family's 1533-position model. The record is from RNAcentral.